RNAcentral lists this ribosomal RNA (807 nucleotides) under uncultured Bacillota bacterium. RNAcentral's name for it is "bacterial SSU rRNA". It matches the Rfam family "Bacterial small subunit ribosomal RNA", at positions 1 to 799 of the family's 1533-position model. Lineage: Bacteria; Bacillati; Bacillota. The record is from RNAcentral.
AGGAGAGUUUGAUCCUGGCUCAGGACGAACGCUGGCGGCGUGCCUAACACAUGCAAGUCGAGCGGGGACAUGCGACGGAUUUGAAGUUUUCGGAUGGAAAUGAAGAUGUAUGUUCUAGCGGCGGACGGGUGAGUAACGCGUGAGCAACCUGUCCCUUACAGGGGGAUAACACAGCGAAAGUUGUACUAAUACCGCAUAAGACCACGGUAUCACAUGGUACAGGGGUCAAAGGAGCAAUCCGGUAAGGGAUGGGCUCGCGUCCGAUUAGAUAGUUGGUGAGGUAACGGCCCACCAAGUCGACGAUCGGUAGCCGACCUGAGAGGGUGAUCGGCCACAUUGGGACUGAGACACGGCCCAAACUCCUACGGGAGGCAGCAGUGGGGAAUAUUGGGCAAUGGGGGGAACCCUGACCCAGCAACGCCGCGUGAGGGAAGAAGGUUUUCGGAUCGUAAACCUCUGUCCUUGGUGAAGAGUAAGAGACGGUAGCCAAGGAGGAAGCCCCGGCUAACUACGUGCCAGCAGCCGCGGUAAUACGUAGGGGGCGAGCGUUGUCCGGAAUGAUUGGGCGUAAAGGGCGCGUAGGCGGCCUGAUAAGUCUGAAGUGAAAGUCCUGGUUUUAAGCUGGGAAUUGCUUUGGAUACUGUCGGGCUUGAGUGCAGGAGAGGUAAGUGGAAUUCCCAGUGUAGCGGUGAAAUGCGUAGAGAUUGGGAGGAACACCAGUGGCGAAGGCGACUUACUGGACUGUAACUGACGCUGAGGCGCGAAAGUGUGGGGAGCAAACAGGAUUAGAUACCCUGGUAGUCCCCU